AACUUUUGACGGUGGAUCUCUUGGCUCACGCAUCGAUGAAGAACGCAGCCAGCUGCGAUAAGUAGUGUGAAUUGCAGAAUUCAGUGAAUCAUCGAAUCUUUGAACGCAAAUGGCGCUCUUGGGUUCUCCCAGGAGCAUGUCUGUCUGAGUGUCGGAUAAUCAUCCAUC
Molecule: ribosomal RNA, 168 nt
Filed under: Echinopora mammiformis
Lineage: Eukaryota; Metazoa; Cnidaria; Anthozoa; Scleractinia; Merulinidae
Description: 5.8S ribosomal RNA
Rfam family: 5.8S ribosomal RNA
About the family: 5.8S ribosomal RNA (5.8S rRNA) is a component of the large subunit of the eukaryotic ribosome.
Source: RNAcentral